Gasterosteus aculeatus (three-spined stickleback) is the source of this 54-nucleotide non-coding RNA. The record is from Rfam. Lineage: Eukaryota; Metazoa; Chordata; Actinopteri; Perciformes; Gasterosteidae.
AAAAAAACGUGAUGUGUGUCGCUUUGGAUAAAAGCGUCUGCUAAAUGACCUGUA